CUCUGGUUUCCCUCCCUCUCAUCCGAAACACUAAAAUUCUCUGUGUCUCACUUCCUUCCACCAACCUCGAUCCUAUCUCUAGCCAACCUACCUUCCCCUUCACAGGAUAUAAGGAUCCCUCUGUCACACCUUAUUCCAGUGAACAAGGUUCGAACAUGUAGAGAUUUGCAUCAGGUCUCGAUGAAAAGAAAAAAAAAAAUCCUUUGAAAUUUAGACUUCUUGUCCAGCUUCUAACCCCACCAACAUCUUCCUGCUUGAUAUUGAAUGACUAAAAGUUACUUCUGAGUCUGACAUAUGAAAAUAAGAAUCAUUGGCUUGAUAUGUAUUUGUAUUCAAUGACUAGGAACUGUUGUUCAAUGUCAUGAGAAUCCUUAAGCUUAAUUAUUUGUUAGCCAAGGAUGCCUCUGAUAUCUAAGAAAUGAGGGUUGUCGCAUUUCUUUGUGGAUAUAUACACCACAACUCAAUCGUCUUCCAGUAAAAGACAGCAGAGCAUUCAGCCAUGGAGUAUCAUGGAUCAAAGUAAAUAGAUAAACGAAGAAAUUCAUGCUUAUGGCGAUUUCACAAUCUUGCUCAGUCACAUUGUUCUCGGCUGCAAGUUCCUUUGUUCUGCUGUUAACAAGGAAGAAAAAUAUUUAAGAGAAAUGCCUCACUGACACCAGAAUCAAGAAUCCACAAAUUCUUAAAAUUAUUUUAGAAAUAAAUUGGAUAUUACAAUAGGAGAAUCUAUGGAUGAGACAGAUCUUACAAUCUUGCCAUAGUAAGCACAAACUGUUGUAGCAGUGCUAUGAUUAACCUUGGCAGCAACUAUCAUGCCACUACUGGACAACUGUCUUUCUUUUUGAGCAACCAGGGAAAUAACUUUGGGACAUAAGGAAUAGGCUCCAUUAGUAACAUGUGUGAUUUCAAGUUAUUGUAUUGAUCAUUUAGGCCACGAAGAAAUUGCAUUACCUGGUCUUCUCUUUUUCUUUGAUUUAUGGUGUCCGAAACUUUGCAGCUACAUUUGGUUUUACUUACACACAGGGUCUGGUCUAAAAUCAACAUUAUCAUUUCCCAUUCAAAAAAAAUAUGUUUCAUCAUUCUAAUUGGCAUAUAUACUCAACUCAAUGUCAUAACUUAAACAAUAAUCACAGUUUCACUCAUAUGAAUCCAACAUCUCUACACUUUAGUAGCAUAAGCUAACAUUUAGAUAAACAAAUAACUAAAUUUUAAUUCUACGUCUGAUUAAAACCGAUCUUCAAAUAUUUCAACAAAAUAAACACGAAGUUUCAGAUUUUCAAAUUCUUUUUGCCACUCACAUAGUACCAUAACUUAAAGUUGUUCUAGAUUAACUUCCGUCUUGUUUUUCAUAGGAAAUCUUCUUCUUGAAAAGACAACAAGCUGGAGUAAUUAGAGAUUCUCUUUGUUACUUUUAGGAAGUCAACCCUAACAAGGGUUCAUAUUUUCUCAAAAGUUACAUGCAGACUCUAGAAGAACGUUAAAUAAAGCACACAAGACAUUUUUGCAAUGGAGAUUAGAUGGCCAAACAUAAAGCAUGUAGUGAGGAAGAACAAUACAAAACAUUUAUAUUAGUUCACUUAAAUUCUAAACUACAUCCAAUUCUAUUUCAUGCACUCUUAAAGCACUCCACUGGUUGAAAACUUUCAUUACAACAAGUACACUAACCUUACCGAGGAUCCCUCUGUAUAUA
This is a long non-coding RNA of Vigna unguiculata (cowpea), 1687 nucleotides long. Lineage: Eukaryota; Viridiplantae; Streptophyta; Magnoliopsida; Fabales; Fabaceae. The record is from RefSeq and is a predicted model, not a curated record.